Phasianus colchicus (ring-necked pheasant) is the source of this 2077-nucleotide long non-coding RNA. RefSeq lists it as uncharacterized. The record is from RefSeq and is a predicted model, not a curated record. NCBI's taxonomy places the organism in Eukaryota, Metazoa, Chordata, Aves, Galliformes, Phasianidae.
UCAAAGAAAAAUACUCAAGGGGAAUUCGGGGACCAGAGGUUUAAUGGUUGCGGCUUUAUAAUCUUUAUCAGAGCACUGAGGCAGUAAUAGGAAGAUAGGAGUAAUCACCUCCAAGAUUUCUGUCACCUCAAUCAACCUUCAAGGGAAAAUCAUCACAAGAGAGCCUCCGAGGCUCAUGCAGAUGUGAGUGAUAACAUGAGGCCGUCAUAAGGCAAGAAUCAUGUGUCUCCAGACAUCUUCUAAAUGGACUGAGUGAUGAAUCACAAAGCUGAAGCAACAACAAAUACAGGACAGACCAGCAAGAAUAAAACCAUCAUCUCAAUACUUAGCUGCUGCUGCUUCUGAUCUCCUGAGCCACUUCCAAUCCAGAUGGGAAACAGAAGAACAUGGAGAUUUUGCAAUUCGAGCUGAGCCAGGCAGGAACUCUUUGGCAGAAGAGGCCUCCCGAGGGAUAAACACAAUCCAGAAGAUGACUGCAGAGGGAAAUGUGACCUGCACCAUGCAGUCUUCACUAUGAAACAAACUGCUGCUGGACAUGUACACCUCUUUAGUUCCCACGCUACACAACAACUGCACCGGGCUAGGAUGCUCCAAGGGAGACAGCAUCUUGUGAAAUCUACCAGAAAACACCACAAUAAACACCACAAAACACAAGAAGGAGCCCGCCAGCUGCAGAAAGCCAGCAACAGGAUCAAAAGAGAAAUGUCCCAGGUACAAACAAGGUGAGAUCCUACUGAGCCUAAGCCAGCAGCCACCCACUGCGUGCUCUGGUGGGUUUAGAAAUCCCAUCCUGUAUGGCAGCUCCUGCAUGCCUGAGCUCACUGACAGAGUAAGGCAGCAUUUAACACCCUCAGUCUGCAAGGCACAGACAGGAGAUGGUAAAUACCUUGAUAAGGAAACUGGAGUGAAAACACCAGCUUUAGGCAAUCCAGAUUUUAUCAGGGAAGUAUGCAGGGAUGAGUAAGUACCUGACAUGCAGAUGUACCUAUGCACAGUGCCAGCAGUCUGCCAGUCCGCACAUCUGGCCUUAGGCAUCACGCUCACAUUUUCACACCCAUGUGAUUUUGGGGUACGUUGUGGAGGCAGAUUUUUGCAUGGAGUUCUCAGUUACACAGUGGUAGUGCCCAAAACGAAUCUGCAUCUCUGUCUGGAAGCACCUAUAGAUUUGACAUUGGAUAACUACUUUUCUGCUGUGAGAAGCUGCUUGGCUUCAUGAGGCUAAUUACUCUGCUUAGCAAUGACAUGCAUUUCACAGCAUGGGAAUCCACGUGUGACAGGUGACAAAAGCAUGCUGUAAUUCAAGGGCUCAUCAAAGUCCUGAAGAAAUGAAUUCCUGAAGAAAUGAAUGUUGUGUAUUGCUGUGUGAAUGGAUGGUGUCUUCUGGCUUCUUGCUGUUAGUUUGAGACCUAGAUAAGAUCAGUACCCGGUACCAUCCUAGUCUCUAUAACGUGAAUCAUGGGUUCUUCCUGGGGGUGGUGCUUAGUGUGGCUAAUGACAGCCAUAAGAAGGAGUGAGGCCCAGGAAUGGAUAAAGAAUAAAUUGGCUGCACUGUGCACAAAGAGGGCCAAACAGAUGUUGGGCCUGAUCCAGACUCCAUUGAGUUAAUGGAAAGGAUCCCUUCGAUUUCAUUGGACACUGUAUCAGACUAUUACAGCUUCUCAGGAAGUGGUGGAGAUCAAGGGUAAUAACUUGUGGUGACUGGAGUGGUGUGUGUUGCAUAGGUGUGGGCUGUGAGGUUUUCAUGGUGAAAACAGAUGGGUCUUCAAGACCUGUCCAUUUGGCCUGGGAAACCUUCCUGCCCCACCUCCCCCACCUAAUGGGAAGCAGUCUCCUGCGGUUUUGGUCCUCUAGCCAACAUUUUGGUAUGAUUUCAUGCAGAAGUGCCCUUCUCCCUUCUGACUUCCACCUCUUCCUCAGUGAGGUUCCGGUGUGAUCCUGAGAUGUUCCAGACCAGUGACUUGAGCUGUCCACAGAGAAGGAAGGAAUAAGGCCUGCUGAGGGCUGUUCACCAGAGAGGAUUUUUGUUGCGGACCAAUAAGAAAAAUAAUGUAAAGCAGGUGUUUCUGCAGUUGUGAGA